AGUCAGGAAGAGCUCAAAAUUCCAAGCUGUUAUUAUGACCCCACAGGGGGCCUCUGACAUCCCCGUGAGCCAGCACUGUGCAUGGGGAAACAUGAAGCAACAUUUGGGCCUAGAACCUCACUGCUGCCAGGCUCGGAAGCCCAGGGAUCUGGCAGGUCUGAGCACAACAGCAGCUCAGGCCCGUCUGUGCGUCCUGAGCUGCCCUGUCCCUCAGCUCUCUUUUACAGAAGAACUGAGGCCCAGAGAAGCUCAGUCAUGUCCCCUGAAGUCACACUGCUGGGUUCUGAGGAUUUGAGCCCAGAUUCUCUUGGUUCUGGGGCCUGAAUACAUGAUUGCAUGGAGCACUCUCCAUCUAGCCUGCAAGACUCAAGGAAAUUCAUGUCCAGUGAGGGAGCUUCGAGUCCCGGUAGUGAGGAGCUCUCUGGAGCAGGAUACUGACCCCAUAGACUUCAUAUGGCUUCACAGCUGCUGGCACCUGCAGCCUCUCCUCCCUGAGUAAGAGAGGAGCAUGGAAAACAGUAUGGCAGGUCCUCAAAAAAUUCAAAAUAGAGCUACCAUGAGAUUCAUCAAUCCCACUUCUAGGUAUGUAUCAAGGGAAACAAAAUCAAGAUCUCAAAGAGAUAUCUGCACUUCCCUGUUCAUUGCAGCAUUAUUUAUGACAGCCAACAUAUGGGAACAACCCAAGUGCCCUUCAAGAGAUGAGUGGAUAAAGAAAAUGUGGUCUAUACGUACAUAACUCAACCUUUGAAAAAAAGGAAAUCCUACCCUUUGCGAAAACAUAGAAGAACCUGGAGGACAUUGUACUAAGUGAAGUAAGACAGACACAGAAAGAGAAAUACUGCAUGAUACUUUAAUGUAUGUGGAAUCUAAAAUAGUCAAA
Long non-coding RNA from Leopardus geoffroyi (Geoffroy's cat), 880 nucleotides. RefSeq lists it as uncharacterized. The transcript has 2 exons. NCBI's taxonomy places the organism in Eukaryota, Metazoa, Chordata, Mammalia, Carnivora, Felidae. The record is from RefSeq and is a predicted model, not a curated record.